This 446-nucleotide ribosomal RNA is filed under the name uncultured bacterium. RNAcentral's name for it is "bacterial SSU rRNA". It matches the Rfam family "Bacterial small subunit ribosomal RNA", at positions 331 to 793 of the family's 1533-position model. The record is from RNAcentral.
CCAGACUCCUACGGGAGGCAGCAGUGGGGGAUAUUGCACAAUGGGGGGAACCCUGAUGCAGCGACGCCGCGUGGGUGAAGAAGUAUUUCGGUAUGUAAAGCCCUAUCGGCAGGGAAGAAAUUGGACGGUACCUGACUAAGAAGCCCCGGCUAACUACGUGCCAGCAGCCGCGGUAAUACGUAGGGGGCAAGCGUUAUCCGGAUUCACUGGGUGUAAAGGGAGCGUAGACGGCCAUGCAAGCCUGGAGUGAAAGCCCGGGGCCCAACCCCGGGACUGCUCUGGGAACUGUGCGGCUGGAGUGCGGGAGGGGCAGGCGGAAUUCCUGGUGUAGCGGUGAAAUGCGUAGAUAUACGGAGGAACACCAGUGGCGAAGGCGGAUUGCUGGACAGUAACUGACGCUGAGGCGCGAAAGCGUGGGGAGCAAACAGGAUUAGAUACCCUAGUAA